Molecule: ribosomal RNA, 465 nt
Filed under: uncultured bacterium
Lineage: Bacteria
Description: partial 16S ribosomal RNA
Rfam family: Bacterial small subunit ribosomal RNA
Source: RNAcentral
GACGAACGCUGGCGGCGUGCUUAACACAUGCAAGCCGAACGGAAAGGCCCCUUUGGGGGUACUCGAGUGGCGAACGGGUGAGUAACACGUGAGUAACCUGCCCUUGACUUCGGGAUAACUUCAGGAAACUGGGGCUAAUACCGGAUAGGAAUCCUUGCUGCAUGGUGGGGGUUGGAAAGCUUCGGCGGUUUUGGAUGGACUCGCGGCUUAUCAGCUUGUUGGUGGGGUAGUGGCUUACCAAGGCUUUGACGGGUAGCCGGCCUGAGAGGGCGACCGGCCACAUUGGGACUGAGAUACGGCCCAGACUCCUACGGGAGGCAGCAGUGGGGAAUAUUGCACAAUGGGCGGAAGCCUGAUGCAGCAACGCCGCGUGCGGGAUGACGGCCUUCGGGUUGUAAACCGCUUUCAGCAGGGGCGAAGCUUGUGGUGACGGUACCUGCAGAAGAAGCACCGGCUAACUACGUG